Aphis gossypii (cotton aphid) is the source of this 1195-nucleotide long non-coding RNA. RefSeq lists it as uncharacterized. The transcript has 3 exons. The record is from RefSeq and is a predicted model, not a curated record. Lineage: Eukaryota; Metazoa; Arthropoda; Insecta; Hemiptera; Aphididae.
GCUAAAUUACAUUUUUUAUCAUUCUGGUUUUUUUCUUGUUAUUACAAAAAAAUAUUUACAGUUAAUGCUUUGAGUAAUAAUAAAAAAAUUUGUUGAAUUUAUAAUGUACAUAAAACACAAUAAUGGCAUGCAUGCAGCAGACGUCAACAUCGUUUUCGAGACAGAUCUCCUACAAGAAGUGAAUUGGUUGCAACUUGCAAGUUUAGCAACUGAAGGAUUUUAAGUUUGAAUGAGUCUGCAAUUUGAAUUAAAAGUUUUAUAGUGUUUUGUAGGUAAUUGAUUUUUUUUUUUUUUAAUUGAUCAUUUAAAAUAUAACAUAAUAUAAUCCGAUAGGUACAUAGGUAUAUUUAUAGUUUAUACUUUAUAAGGUAUUUUAAUAUUGAAUUUUCAUACGUACGAUGUUGUUGUUUUCGAAUAACAAUUAUUCAUAUACAUCAUAGUUAGUUGAUAAUAAUAAUAUUAUUAUUGUACUAUACAACAAUAAACCAAAAAGGAUAAGCAAUAUCUCUAUCGCGUAUUUAGCGCUCCGGACGAGAAUAAUCAUACGAGAAGCGAGUAAUUUAUAUACCUAUGGUAUCCAAAGGUACAUACGCGCGUAUACAGCCGUUAUCUGAUUGAUCGUUAUUGUAAUGAUAUACAACCUGAGAACGGUAUACCGCUUGUCCGCUUAUACCAAGAUAAUCGCGUAAGUAGAUAGCAAGAGUAAAAUUAUGUAACAAUAUUUAUUUAUGUGUGCACCGAAGUGAGCAAAAAUCGAACAGACCACAAAACAAAAUACCUAUAGGAGCGUGUAUUAUACGGUUUUUGAAAUUUUUUAUUCAAACGUUUAAUGAGUACAAUUUUAUUUUAUUUUAUUUUAUUGUAUAUGAUUUGUUUUUCUUUAGCUCUUGCAGUUUAGCAUGAUAUAUUUUUAUAAUAAAUCGACCAAUUUAUUAUAAUAUGAUUAAUAUGACAUAUUGUAGUCCACGUGGUGUUAUCAAAAUGUUUCUCGAUCAUAUUAUUAUUAUUUUAUACGUUACUACAAUAAAACAGUAUAAAUACAAUUAUCAAAAUAGCACUGUAAAUAAAAAAUAUUUUACCAAAAUUUUUGAAAUUUUUUGUGAUAUAAGUGCCAAGUCACGAAUCAAAUUCAUAUAUUUAUGCACGCUAACGAGUCCGGUCUAUGACGAUAAACAAAUAUAUAUAUAUAUAUAUA